RNAcentral lists this ribosomal RNA (745 nucleotides) under uncultured bacterium. Its description in RNAcentral is "bacterial SSU rRNA". It matches the Rfam family "Bacterial small subunit ribosomal RNA", at positions 33 to 773 of the family's 1533-position model. The record is from RNAcentral.
ACGCUGGCGGCAGGCCUAACACAUGCAAGUCGAGCGGUAGAGAGAAGCUUGCUUCUCUUGAGAGCGGCGGACGGGUGAGUAAUGCCUAGGAAUCUGCCUGGUAGUGGGGGAUAACGUCCGGAAACGGACGCUAAUACCGCAUACGUCCUACGGGAGAAAGCAGGGGACCUUCGGGCCUUGCGCUAUCAGAUGAGCCUAGGUCGGAUUAGCUAGUUGGUGAGGUAAUGGCUCACCAAGGCGACGAUCCGUAACUGGUCUGAGAGGAUGAUCAGUCACACUGGAACUGAGACACGGUCCAGACUCCUACGGGAGGCAGCAGUGGGGAAUAUUGGACAAUGGGCGAAAGCCUGAUCCAGCCAUGCCGCGUGUGUGAAGAAGGUCUUCGGAUUGUAAAGCACUUUCAGCGAGGAGGAAGGCAUUAAGGUUAAUAACCUUAGUGAUUGACGUUACUCGCAGAAGAAGCACCGGCUAACUCCGUGCCAGCAGCCGCGGUAAUACGGAGGGUGCAAGCGUUAAUCGGAAUUACUGGGCGUAAAGCGCACGCAGGCGGUUUGUUAAGUCAGAUGUGAAAUCCCCGAGCUUAACUUGGGAACUGCAUUUGAAACUGGCAAGCUAGAGUCUUGUAGAGGGGGGUAGAAUUCCAGGUGUAGCGGUGAAAUGCGUAGAGAUCUGGAGGAAUACCGGUGGCGAAGGCGGCCCCCUGGACAAAGACUGACGCUCAGGUGCGAAAGCGUGGGGAGCAAAC